UCGGUGCUCUUCACUGAGUGUCGAGGUGGGCCGGCACGUUUACUUUGAACAAAUUAGAGUGCUUCAAGCAGGCUGGAUAUUGCCUGAAUGCUAGUGCAUGGAAUAAUGGAAUAGGACCUCGGUUCUAUUUUGUUGGUUUUCGGAACCAGAGGUAAUGAUUAAUGGAGACAGGCGGGGGCAUUCGUAUUGCGACGUUAGAGGUGAAAUUCUUGGAUCGUCGCAAGACGGACCGAAGCGAAAGCAUUUGCCAAGGAUGUUCUCGUUGAUCAAGAACGAAAGUUAGAGGUUCGAAGGCGAUCAGAUACCGCCCUAGUUCUAACCAUAAACGAUGCCAGCUAGCGAUCCGCCAAAGUUCCUUUGAUGACUUGGCGGGCAGCUUCCGGGAAACCAAAGCUUUUGGGUUCCGGGGGAAGUAUGGUUGCAAAGCUGAAACUUAAAGGAAUUGACGGAAGGGCACCACCAGGAGUGGAGCCUGCGGCUUAAUUUGACUCAACACGGGAAACCUCACCAGGCCCGGACACUGGAAGGAUUGACAGAUUGAGAGCUCUUUCUUGAUUCAGUGGGUGGUGGUGCAUGGCCGUUCUUAGUUGGUGGAGCGAUUUGUCUGGUUAAUUCCGAUAACGAACGAGACUCUAGCCUGCUAACUAGUCGUUUCCGGCUUCUCUUUGCAGCCGGCGAAGACAAAUCUUCUUAGAGGGACAGGCGGCUUCUAGCCGCACGAGAUUGAGCAAUAACAGGUCUGUGAUGCCCUUAGAUGUUCUGGGCCGCACGCGCGCUACAAUGAAGGUAUCAGCGUGUCCUCCCUGGCCGAAAGGUCCGGGUAACCCGCUGAACCACCUUCGUGCUUGGGAUUGGGGCUUGAAAUUGUUCCCCAUGAACGAGGAAUUCCCAGUAAAGGCGUGUCAUUAGCACGCCUUGAUUACGUCCCUGCCCUUUGUACACACCGCCCGUCGCUACUACCGAUUGAAUGAUUUAGUGAGGUCUUCGGACUGGCGCGCGGUGAUCUCUCGGGACCGCCGAUGCCGCCGGAAAGAUGACCAAACUUGAUCA
RNAcentral lists this ribosomal RNA (1050 nucleotides) under Oxythrips strobilus. Its description in RNAcentral is "SSU rRNA". It matches the Rfam family "Eukaryotic small subunit ribosomal RNA", at positions 713 to 1771 of the family's 1831-position model. The record is from RNAcentral. Lineage: Eukaryota; Metazoa; Arthropoda; Insecta; Thysanoptera; Thripidae.